RNAcentral lists this ribosomal RNA (253 nucleotides) under uncultured bacterium. RNAcentral's name for it is "partial 16S ribosomal RNA". It matches the Rfam family "Bacterial small subunit ribosomal RNA", at positions 524 to 776 of the family's 1533-position model. The record is from RNAcentral.
UACAGAGGUCCCGAGCGUUGUUCGGAUUCAUUGGGCGUAAAGGGUGCGUAGGCGGCGGGGCAAGUCUGAUGUGAAAUCCCGGGGCUCAACCCCGGAACUGCAUUGGAUACUGCCUUGCACGAGUACUGGAGAGGGAACUGGAAUUUACGGUGUAGCAGUGAAAUGCGUAGAGAUCGUAAGGAAGGCCAGUGGCGAAGGCGAGUUCCUGGACAGUUACUGACGCUGAGGCACGAAGGCCAGGGGAGCAAACGGG